UACGGAGGAUCCAAGCGUUAUCCGGGUUUAUUGGGUUUAAAGGGUGCGUAGGUGGCUUUUUAAGUCAGGGGUGAAAGACGGUAGCUUAACUAUCGCAGUGCCUUUGAUACUGAAGAGCUUGAAUGAACUAGAGGUAGGCGGAAUGUGACAAGUAGCGGUGAAAUGCAUAGAUAUGUCACAGAACACCAAUUACGAAGGCAGCUUACUAUGGUUUGAUUGACACUGAGGCACGAAAGCGUGGGGAUCAAACAGG
RNAcentral lists this ribosomal RNA (253 nucleotides) under uncultured bacterium. RNAcentral describes it as "partial 16S ribosomal RNA". It matches the Rfam family "Bacterial small subunit ribosomal RNA", at positions 524 to 776 of the family's 1533-position model. The record is from RNAcentral.